UACGGCCGCAUCACAUUGAAACACCAGUUCCUGUGCAAUCACUGAAGUUAAGCAGUGUUGAGUAUGAUUAGUACCUUGGCGGGUGACUGCUUGGGAAUACCAGGUGCUGUAA
Molecule: non-coding RNA, 112 nt
Organism: Acanthosepion pharaonis
Lineage: Eukaryota; Metazoa; Mollusca; Cephalopoda; Sepiida; Sepiidae
Source: the annotation of a GenBank genome assembly